This 253-nucleotide ribosomal RNA is filed under the name uncultured microorganism. RNAcentral's name for it is "partial 16S ribosomal RNA". It matches the Rfam family "Bacterial small subunit ribosomal RNA", at positions 524 to 776 of the family's 1533-position model. The record is from RNAcentral.
UACGGAGGGUGCAAGCGUUAAUCGGAAUUACUGGGCGUAAAGCGCGCGUAGGCGGCUUGAUAAGCCGGUUGUGAAAGCCCCGGGCUCAACCUGGGAACGGCAUCCGGAACUGUCAGGCUAGAGUGCAGGAGAGGAAGAUAGAAUUCCCGGUGUAGCGGUGAAAUGCGUAGAGAUCGGGAGGAAUACCAGUGGCGAAGGCGGCCUUCUGGACUGACACUGACGCUGAGGCGCGAAAGCGUGGGUAGCAAACAGG